Perognathus longimembris pacificus (Pacific pocket mouse) is the source of this 109-nucleotide small nuclear RNA. The record is from RefSeq and is a predicted model, not a curated record. NCBI's taxonomy places the organism in Eukaryota, Metazoa, Chordata, Mammalia, Rodentia, Heteromyidae.
GUGUUUACUUCAGUAUCACCUAAAUUCAAAUUGGAGUGGUACAGAAGAUUAGCAUGGCCCCCUUUGCAAGGAUUAGACACAAAUUCAUAAAGAGAUGAUAAAAUGUUCU